RNAcentral lists this non-coding RNA (23 nucleotides) under Arabidopsis thaliana (thale cress). Lineage: Eukaryota; Viridiplantae; Streptophyta; Magnoliopsida; Brassicales; Brassicaceae. The record is from RNAcentral.
AAUAUCGCUUGGGAGCGCGGUGU